CUUGAGCGAGCCCAGCCACAGUGGCUGCUCGCGAUCCCGGCCGUACGUGGUGAGCAGGGCGUGCGCCUC
Molecule: antisense RNA, 69 nt
Filed under: Labedaea rhizosphaerae
Lineage: Bacteria; Bacillati; Actinomycetota; Actinomycetes; Pseudonocardiales; Pseudonocardiaceae
Description: Labedella sp. RS-49 ASpks TB sRNA
Rfam family: ASpks TB sRNA
Source: Rfam by way of RNAcentral